GAGGCUAUAUACAGGGGGUACCGGUACAGAGUCAAUGUGGAGGCUAUAUACAGGGUAUUACGGUACAGAGUCAAUGUGGAGGCUAUAUACAGGGGGUACCGGUACAGAGUCACUGUGGAGGCUAUAGACAGGGGGUACCGGUACAGAGUCAAUGUGGAGGCUAUAUACAGGGGGUACCGGUACAGAGUCAAUGUGGAGGCUAUAUACAGGGGGUACCGGUACAGAGUCAAUGUGGAGGCUAUAUACAGGGGGUACCGGUACAGAGUCAAUGUGGAGGCUAUAUACAGGGUAUUACGGUACAGAGUCAAUGUGGAGGCUAUAUACAGGGGGUACCGGUACAGAGUCAAUGUGGAGGCUAUAUACAGGGGGUACCGGUACAGUGUCAAUGUGGAGGCUAUAUACAGGGGGUACCGGUACAGAGUCAAUGUGGAG
Molecule: long non-coding RNA, 432 nt
Filed under: Salmo salar (Atlantic salmon)
Lineage: Eukaryota; Metazoa; Chordata; Actinopteri; Salmoniformes; Salmonidae
Description: lncRNA (ENSSSAG00000121669.1)
Source: RNAcentral